AGCAAUACGGCAGCGGCAGACGGGAGAGUAACACGUGGGAACGCGCCCUUCGGUUCGGAAUAACUCAGGGAAACUUGGGCUAAUACCGAAUACGCCCUUACGGGGAAAGAUUUAUUGCCGAAGGAACGGCCCGCGUCCGAUUAGCUUGUUGGUGAGGUAACGGCUCACCAAGGCGACGAUCGGUAGCUGGUCUGAGAGGAUGACCAGCCUCACUGGGACUGAGACACGGCCCAGACUCCUACGGGAGGCAGCAGUGGGGAAUAUUGGACAAUGGGCGCAAGCCUGAUCCAGCCAUGCCGCGUGGGUGAUGAAGGCCCUAGGGUUGUAAAGCCCUUUCGGCGGGGAAGAUAAUGACGGUACCCGCAGAAGAAGCCCCGGCUAACUUCGUGCCAGCAGCCGCGGUAAUACGAAGGGGGCUAGCGUUGCUCGGAAUUACUGGGCGUAAAGCGCACGUAGGCGGCUUCUUAAGUCGGAGGUGAAAUCCUGGAGCUCAACUCCAGAACUGCCUUCGAUACUGGGAGGCUUGAGUCCGGGAGAGGUGAGUGGAACU
This 550-nucleotide ribosomal RNA is filed under the name uncultured bacterium. Its description in RNAcentral is "bacterial SSU rRNA". It matches the Rfam family "Bacterial small subunit ribosomal RNA", at positions 83 to 668 of the family's 1533-position model. The record is from RNAcentral.